Molecule: non-coding RNA, 1629 nt
Organism: Callithrix jacchus (white-tufted-ear marmoset)
Lineage: Eukaryota; Metazoa; Chordata; Mammalia; Primates; Cebidae
Source: RefSeq, a predicted model, not a curated record
GCCUUCGUGACUGCUGCAGCUCAGACUGGCUCAGUGUCUCUGGAGGAAUUGUCUCUCACCCUGCCAAGUAGACGCAUAUUGACAUGGAAUGGAUGGUGUCUGCUGUGGUUCUAACUCCUUAUGCCACUAUUCCAGUCUACAGUGAUUGCAUCUUUGUGAAGCCCCACUUAGUGACCAUCUGGGCCUCUGCACAAAUUCCAAUGGCAAGUAGGUAUGUGUGUGGGACCCAGUGCCUGGGACCAGGUUUGUGAGCCCUGCUGUCUUGUGAGCAUGAGACACUGUGUGACCAUGCGUAUGAGCUGUCAGUGAGCACAUGCUUGUUCAUUCAUUUGUGGUUUCACUUGUUCUAUGUGUGAAAGGAAAAUAUCUUGGGCCCCUUAAAGCUGGGAACCACUCAGGGCAAAUCUGCCUCCCAUUCUAUUCAAGUCAUCCUUUCGCUCACAGAGAUAGAUUGCCUCCACUGCCUCUUUUGGAAAGACUCACCAGAAACUCAAAUGAAUGUAACCAUCUGUCUCGCACCAUCUGAGACCUGGAAGACCCCAAUGGUGGGGACUGGGUGGGGUGGAGUGGGGUGUGUGCUUGCUUUGAGCUGUCUCUGCCUUUCUGGACGGAACUAAAGUACAUCUUACGUAUUGAUUGAUGUCUCAUGUCUCCCUAAAUAUAUAAAAGUAAGCUGUACUCCGACCACCUUAUGCACAUGUCAUCAGGACUUCCUGAGGCUGUGUCACAGGUGUGUCCACAACCUUGGCAAAAUAAACUUUCUAAAUUAACUGAGACCCAUCUCAGAUUUUCUGGGUUCACAUUUUAAUAACCACGGGGAGAUUCUGAGUGGAGAUAUUCCUGACCUUUAACUAAUCUAUCUGUGCUUGGUACCAGCAUGAGCUAUCUUUAUGGCUCAAACCAAUAGGACAAUUUGCUGAGGUCUGGGAGCACCCCCUCCAGAGAAUCCUUGAGCUCUCAAAAUUUGGUUGAGAUCUAAAGUUUAUUUUGCUGUAUAACUUUUUUUUUUGAGUUUUACUUGCUUCCAAUAGGAAGGCAAGUUUUCCUGCUUCCAUGAUGAUGGAAGGCAGGUAACUCCUUUAUAGAGUUUGAGCUCGCUUCCAACAGGGAAGAUGAGUUUUGUUUUUGUUUCUUCCUGCUUCUAGGAUGGUAGAGAGCAAUCUACAGCCUGAGACCCAUCACUAGGUAAGAAACUGGCUUGGGAUUCUGUCUUGCAAAUUCCUCUUAAAUGACUAAAGUUAGCAUUUAACAGCCAGCUGUUAAUUUCUGCUUACACUUACAGUGCUCAGAAAUCAUAUAACUUGUGUGAUCAUUGUUAGUGUAGCAGCAUUUUGUCCUAGCUGAAAUAUGGUAAUAAGAUUAGAAAAAUCUUUUUUUGGCCAGGUGCAGUGGCUCACGCCUGAAUGUCAGCACUUUGGGAGGCCAAGGUAGGCGGAUCACCUGAGGUCGGUAGUCUGGGAGUUCAAGACCAGCCUGGCCAACGUGGUGAAACCUGUCUCUACUAAAGAACACAAAAAUUAGGCCGGGUGCGGUGGCUCAUGCCUGUAAUCCCAGCACUUUGGGAAGGCGAGGCAGGUGGAUCAUGAGGAGUUGGAGACCAGCCUGACCAACAUGGUGAAACCUUAUCUC